GGGCCAGUGGUCUAGUGGUUAUGACGUCGCGCUUACAACGCGGAGGCCGCCUGUUCAAUUCCGGCCUGGCCCA
RNAcentral lists this transfer RNA (73 nucleotides) under Thermoplasmatota archaeon. It matches the Rfam family "tRNA". From Rfam's summary of the family: Transfer RNA (tRNA) molecules are approximately 80 nucleotides in length. The record is from Rfam by way of RNAcentral. Lineage: Archaea; Methanobacteriati; Thermoplasmatota.